Molecule: ribosomal RNA, 264 nt
Filed under: uncultured bacterium
Lineage: Bacteria
Description: partial 16S ribosomal RNA
Rfam family: Bacterial small subunit ribosomal RNA
Source: RNAcentral
UACGAGGGGGGCAAGCGUUGUUCGGAAUUAUUGGGCGUAAAGGGUGCGUAGGCGGUUUGGUAAGUCUUAUGUGAAAUCUACAGGCUCAACUUGUAGUCUGCAUGAGAAAACUGCCGGGCUUGAGUAUGGGAGAGGUGAGUGGAAUUUCCGGUGUAGCGGUGAAAUGCGUAGAUAUCGGAAGGAACACCUGUGGCGAAAGCGGCUCACUGGACCAUUACUGACGCUGAGGCACGAAAGCUAGGGGAGACAAACAGGAGUUAGAAA